GUGCUAAGGUAGCAUAAUCAUUUGCUACUUAAUUGGUAGCUGGAAUGAAAGGUUAAACUAGCUUAUUCAGUUUGUUGUGUUUUGUAAGAAAUUAAAGUCGAGGUAAGAAUUCUUUGAUCUGCUAGGGGACGAUAAGACCCUAGAAGCUUAACAAUAAGAGUAUUUAUUAGUUAUAAAAAUUAAUUUGUUUUACUGGGGCGGUAAAGGUAUAUUAACUAUUAGUGUAUUGAUAGAUCCUUAAAAUAAAGAUAAAACGGGAAAGUUACUCUAGGGGUAACAGUGCAAUAUUUUUAGAGAGAUCAUAUCGAUAAAAAUGUUUGCAACCUCGAUGUUGAAUUAAGAUGUCUACGUGAAGCAGCAGGUACGUGAGAGGGUUUGUUCAACCUUUAAAUUUUUACAUGAUCUGAGUUCAAACCG
This 417-nucleotide ribosomal RNA is filed under the name Gammarus sp. lacustris-type RG2_7. RNAcentral describes it as "partial 16S ribosomal RNA". It matches the Rfam family "Bacterial large subunit ribosomal RNA", at positions 1948 to 2618 of the family's 2925-position model. The record is from RNAcentral. Lineage: Eukaryota; Metazoa; Arthropoda; Malacostraca; Amphipoda; Gammaridae.